This 1144-nucleotide ribosomal RNA is filed under the name Escherichia coli. RNAcentral's name for it is "bacterial SSU rRNA". It matches the Rfam family "Bacterial small subunit ribosomal RNA", at positions 28 to 1165 of the family's 1533-position model. The record is from RNAcentral. Lineage: Bacteria; Pseudomonadati; Pseudomonadota; Gammaproteobacteria; Enterobacterales; Enterobacteriaceae.
AUUGAACGCUGGCGGCAGGCCUAACACAUGCAAGUCGAACGGUAACAGGAAGCAGCUUGCUGCUUCGCUGACGAGUGGCGGACGGGUGAGUAAUGUCUGGGAAACUGCCUGAUGGAGGGGGAUAACUACUGGAAACGGUAGCUAAUACCGCAUAACGUCGCAAGACCAAAGAGGGGGACCUUCGGGCCUCUUGCCAUCGGAUGUGCCCAGAUGGGAUUAGCUUGUAGGUGGGGUAACGGCUCACCUAGGCGACGAUCCCUAGCUGGUCUGAGAGGAUGACCAGCCACACUGGAACUGAGACACGGUCCAGACUCCUACGGGAGGCAGCAGUGGGGAAUAUUGCACAAUGGGCGCAAGCCUGAUGCAGCCAUGCCGCGUGUAUGAAGAAGGCCUUCGGGUUGUAAAGUACUUUCAGCGGGGAGGAAGGGAGUAAAGUUAAUACCUUUGCUCAUUGACGUUACCCGCAGAAGAAGCACCGGCUAACUCCGUGCCAGCAGCCGCGGUAAUACGGAGGUGCAAGCGUUAAUCGGAAUUACUGGGCGUAAAGCGCACGCAGGCGGUUUGUUAAGUCAGAUGUGAAAUCCCCGGGCUCAACCUGGGAACUGCAUCUGAUACUGGCAAGCUUGAGUCUCGUAGAGGGGGGUAGAAUUCCAGGUGUAGCGGUGAAAUGCGUAGAGAUCUGGAGGAAUACCGGUGGCGAAGGCGGCCCCCUGGACGAAGACUGACGCUCAGGUGCGAAAGCGUGGGGAGCAAACAGGAUUAGAUACCCUGGUAGUCCACGCCGUAAACGAUGUCGACUUGGAGGUUGUGCCCUUGAGGCGUGGCUUCCGGAGCUAACGCGUUAAGUCGACCGCCUGGGGAGUACGGCCGCAAGGUUAAAACUCAAAUGAAUUGACGGGGGCCCGCACAAGCGGUGGAGCAUGUGGUUUAAUUCGAUGCAACGCGAAGAACCUUACCUGGUCUUGACAUCCACGGAAGUUUUCAGAGAUGGGAAUGUGCCUUCGGGAACUGUGAGACAGGUGCUGCAUGGCUGUCGUCAGCUCGUGUUGUGAAAUGUUGGGUUAAGUCCCGCAACGAGCGCAACCCUUAUCCUUUGUUGCCAGCGGUCCGGCCGGAACUCAAAGGAGACUGCCAGUGAUAACCG